This 500-nucleotide ribosomal RNA is filed under the name uncultured bacterium. RNAcentral describes it as "partial 16S ribosomal RNA". It matches the Rfam family "Bacterial small subunit ribosomal RNA", at positions 28 to 507 of the family's 1533-position model. The record is from RNAcentral.
GACGAACGCUGGCGGCGUGCCUAAUACAUGCAAGUCGAGCGGACUGAUUAAGAGCUUGCUCUUAUGACGUUAGCGGCGGACGGGUGAGUAACACGUGGACAACCUGCCCUGUAGAUCGGGAUAACACCGAGAAAUCGGUGCUAAUACCGGGUAAUAUCUGAGAUCACAUGAUCUUAGGUUAAAAGAUGGCUCCGGCUAUCACUACAGGAUGGGCCCGCGGCGCAUUAGCUAGUUGGUAAGGUAAUGGCUUACCAAGGCGACGAUGCGUAGCCGACCUGAGAGGGUGAUCGGCCACACGGGGACUGAGACACGGCCCAGACUCCUACGGGAGGCAGCAGUAGGGAAUCUUCCGCAAUGGACGAAAGUCUGACGGAGCAACGCCGCGUGAGUGAUGAAGGGUUUCGGCUCGUAAAGCUCUGUUGUUAGGGAAGAAACAGUACCGAACGAACUAGGUCGGUACCUUGACGGUACCUAACCAGAAAGCCACGGCUAACUACGUG